ACGGAGGGAGCUAGCGUUGUUCGGAAUCACUGGGCGUAAAGCGUACGUAGGCGGUUAUUCAAGUUAGAGGUGAAAGCCUGGAGCUCAACUCCAGAACUGCCUUUAAAACUAGAUAGCUAGAAUCUGGGAGAGGUGAGUGGAAUUCCGAGUGUAGAGGUGAAAUUCGUAGAUAUUCGGAAGAACACCAGUGGCGAAGGCGGCUCACUGGACCAGUAUUGACGCUGAGGUACGAAAGCGUGGGGAGCAAACAGGAUUAGAUACCCUGGUAGUCCACGCCGUAAACGAUGAUAACUAGCUGCCAGGGCUCUUGGAGCUUUGGUGGCGCAGCUAACGCAUUAAGUUAUCCGCCUGGGGAGUACGGUCGCAAGAUUA
This 372-nucleotide ribosomal RNA is filed under the name uncultured bacterium. Its description in RNAcentral is "bacterial SSU rRNA". It matches the Rfam family "Bacterial small subunit ribosomal RNA", at positions 525 to 896 of the family's 1533-position model. The record is from RNAcentral.